GACGAAGGGGGCUAGCGUUGUCCGGAAUCAUUGGGCGUAAAGCGCGUGUAGGCGGUCCGGUAAGUCCGCUGUGAAAGUCGGGGGCUCAACCCUCGAAUGCCGGUGGAUACUGUCGGGCUAGAGUGCGGAAGAGGCGAGUGGAAUUCCUGGUGUAGCGGUGAAAUGCGCAGAUAUCAGGAGGAACACCAAUUGCGAAGGCAGCUCGCUGGGACGUAACUGACGCUGAGACGCGAAAGCGUGGGGAGCAAACAGG
Molecule: ribosomal RNA, 253 nt
Filed under: uncultured bacterium
Lineage: Bacteria
Description: partial 16S ribosomal RNA
Rfam family: Bacterial small subunit ribosomal RNA
Source: RNAcentral